GAUAAGAUGGCUGAAAAUUUAGGCUUUAAAUUGUAAAUUUAUAUAUGGGUAGACCCUCUUAUCA
This 64-nucleotide transfer RNA is filed under the name Helotrephes semiglobosus semiglobosus. RNAcentral describes it as "tRNA-Tyr". The record is from RNAcentral. Lineage: Eukaryota; Metazoa; Arthropoda; Insecta; Hemiptera; Helotrephidae.